This 1651-nucleotide long non-coding RNA is filed under the name Gossypium barbadense (sea-island cotton). RNAcentral's name for it is "long non-coding RNA (GBAR_LNC002786)". Lineage: Eukaryota; Viridiplantae; Streptophyta; Magnoliopsida; Malvales; Malvaceae. The record is from RNAcentral.
UUGCAUCUUUUUCAUAUAUUGCAAGAAGUUUUAAGUAAAAUCAAGUAUGAAAUCACUAGCAUAUAAUCAAGGUAAUGCAACAUACGUACGUACGUAGAUACAUACAUACAUACAUACAGAGGAAUUAAUACAUCAGUUACUUUUUUUUUCCUGCUCAAUUGAUCAUACUGGGCACCGGCCGGAAGUUACAUUCUUAAAAGACAAAAAAAAGAAAAUGAAUGAUGCAUAUAAAACCAAGACCCAAUAUAUGAUAUACAUUUCACUUCACAUGGGAAUCAAGGCCCUCAUCUUCGAGACUUCUAUGCAAUUUCACCAUAUCCAACCUUGACCAAAAGAAGCGAAAAACAAAUUAAAGACACAUAUGUAUAUAUGUAUGUAUGUACGUAUGUACGUACCUAUGUAUGUAUAUACAGCAAAACAGUAGAUAUGCUCACUGAACAUUCGUGCAUAAAAUGGCAAACCUACUUUUUUUUCUCAUACAUACAUACAUACAUACAUGUAUGUGAGGGUUUACUUCAUUCAUCUGUGCUAAAGGCAAUAUGGGUAGAUGAUGUUCAAAUUUUCUUAUCUCCUUGUAGGCUACUAAAAAUAAAAUUACUAUUUUAUCCUUCACAAUAAAAAAUAAAAUAAAAUUUUAGACGUAAUAAUUAACUACAUUAAAGAAAACUCGAGUUUAAAUCCUAAAUAUUCAAAAGGAAUAGUAUGAAUUUGGAAGCAUAGCUUAGAUAUAAGAAAAAUAGUAGUCUACUUAGAAAAGAGAAUUUAUGUCAAUUGAAUCUUAACUCGAUUAGUACGAGCAUUGUUGCCGGUACAAAAAGACAUGGGUUUGAAUACACUAAAAUACAAUAUUCUUCUAUUUAAUGGUUAAGAAAAGGCUACAAAAGCUUAUAAUAAAUUGUUAAAAAAAAAAGGAAAAAAUUUAUUAUUAAUUAAUUACUAUACAUUAUUGAAAAGAGAUUGUCAUUAAUUAAUUAGUAAAGACCAUAGAUUUUUCAUUUAUGUGUAGGAACAAUUUGUCAUCAAACAUGGAAAGAACAGACAUGGUCAACACAAAAAAAGGCGUCAAAAUUAAAAACUAAGUCAAUGGCAUCUCUUUUUUCUUUCUUUUUUUUUUAUCUUUGUGUUUGUUAGCAUCUUUGACAAGUGUGUCAAAAUGAUUCAAUGCACACAGACACACACCAAAAAAAAAAAAAAAAAGCUUAAAAACUACUCCCAUUUUUUAACCCCACAAGCCAUUGCCUGAAACUAAACAACGACAACUCAUGCUGGUCGGAGGAAGUGUUUGGCUGACGGGAAUGAAGCCUGGUCCGAGAUCAUAUAGGGCUAUAUAUAUACAUAUAUCCAGAAACUUUCCCGGAAAAUUUAAAUAAAUCCAAGAAAAUUUCAUGGAAAUUAUAUAUAAAAGAUCAACCUAUAUGACCUCGAGCCAAACAACAUUCCCAUCAACCGUUUCUCCUUUUACAUAAUCUUUUUCUUCAACUUUGCCUUAAAAAUGAAAAUGUUUGAGGGGAAUGAAGCCUGGUCCAAUGAUACCUUUUACUUUGAUUACACUUUACAAUCUCAAAGCUGUCGCAUCGAGCCAGCCAACAUUCCUCUCAAAGACAACCCAUUUCCAUCAACUUGCUUGCUUUAACGAUAAACAAGCUCAGGG